This is a long non-coding RNA of Gadus macrocephalus (Pacific cod), 807 nucleotides long. RefSeq lists it as uncharacterized. Lineage: Eukaryota; Metazoa; Chordata; Actinopteri; Gadiformes; Gadidae. The transcript has 2 exons. The record is from RefSeq and is a predicted model, not a curated record.
UAGAUCAGUUUUAAUAAUAGUUCUGUUUUAAAUCAUGUACACGCGUUAAACAAAAUCAAGUCAAAUCAUGGACAUUCUUAAUCCCUCUCCAUUAACAUGUUUCCUUUAAACAAUCUUAUAAUAUAAUUGUCCACUACCACACACACACACACAGACACUCAUACCAAGAGAAAACACGCACACUUGUUUUCGAAGACUACAAUAUCAUGUCAUAUUUAGUGCGUACUUCAAGCCGAGGGGAGCAACAGCAUUGCUUUGUUGAACUCCUUCAGUUAAAUGAGAUGAAGGAGCAGGGCUUCUUUUGAUCAGAGGGACGAUGCAUAAUGAGGAGCUCCGCCUACAGUCUGACAUGGGAUCAUCAGAACGCUGUAUUGGGGAACCCAGAACCCAUCAGAGCUGUCCUCCCCAUUCCCUUGACCCCUGCACAAAAAAACAACGCUGGGCGGGGAGGUGGGGGGCUACAGGAAAGAACCUGAUGGAUGAGUAGCACUCAGUCCAACAGCACACUGCCCCACACUAACUCACACGAAUAUAAUAAUGGAAUGAAUGAGGAGCAUUAGAGAGAAAAGAGUGUGUGUGUGUGUGUGUGUGUGUGUGUGUGUGUGUGGCCUUCUGUCCACACUUUAUAUUAUACUAAAUAAGAGAAAGAAAGAGGCACACACAAGCACAGCAAAGCGGCUGUGUCCCGCGGGCAGGAAACAACAUAUGGACAGACUAACAAGAAGAAAAAAAAAAAAAGAAAAAAAAAGGGUACAAGCCAAAGUAAUCACACUCAACUAAAAGCAAACUCGCUUACAAAUCGAACAA